GGUGGGAUGGCCGAGUGGCUUAAGGCGGCAGCCUUGAAAGCUGCUGUGGCGCUAACGCGCCACCGUAGGUUCGAAUCCUACUCCCACCGCCA
This 92-nucleotide transfer RNA is filed under the name Candidatus Poribacteria bacterium. Its description in RNAcentral is "tRNA-Ser". It matches the Rfam family "tRNA". Rfam says of the family: Transfer RNA (tRNA) molecules are approximately 80 nucleotides in length. Their secondary structure includes four short double-helical elements and three loops (D, anti-codon, and T loops). Further hydrogen bonds mediate the characteristic L-shaped molecular structure. tRNAs have two regions of fundamental functional importance: the anti-codon, which is responsible for specific mRNA codon recognition, and the 3' end, to which the tRNAs corresponding amino acid is attached (by aminoacyl-tRNA synthetases). tRNAs cope with the degeneracy of the genetic code in two manners: having more than one tRNA (with a specific anti-codon) for a particular amino acid; and 'wobble' base-pairing, i.e. permitting non-standard base-pairing at the 3rd anti-codon position. The record is from RNAcentral. RNAcentral also lists the same sequence under 1 other name. Lineage: Bacteria; Candidatus Poribacteria.